AGCUACACAACGAGAUGAGGAUGGUCAUUGUCAUUUUCUAAGCUGCGAACGGGCAGAAAGCUACACAACGAGAUGAGGAUGGUCAUUGUCAUUUUCUAAGCUGCGAACGGGCAGAAAGCUACACAACAAGAUGAGGAUGGUCAUUGUCAUUUUCUGAGCUGCGAACGGGCAUAAAG
Long non-coding RNA from Sycon ciliatum, 176 nucleotides. RefSeq lists it as uncharacterized. The transcript has 3 exons. The record is from RefSeq and is a predicted model, not a curated record. NCBI's taxonomy places the organism in Eukaryota, Metazoa, Porifera, Calcarea, Leucosolenida, Sycettidae.